RNAcentral lists this long non-coding RNA (1427 nucleotides) under Triticum aestivum (bread wheat). RNAcentral describes it as "long non-coding RNA (TAES_LNC028426)". The record is from RNAcentral. Lineage: Eukaryota; Viridiplantae; Streptophyta; Magnoliopsida; Poales; Poaceae.
CCACCCUUUUUCUCAUUAAUAACAAAACUAAUUAUUCCGAUAUAUAAAAUAUUAAUUCCAAUGGCUUUUGCUAUAGUAACCUUCCCAACCACGAUUUUUUAUUCCACUCCGUUCAGUUAUUUCUAUACGAAAUAACAAAUUCAUUCUAAUAAUACUAAAAAAAUAGUGGGUUCCAUCGUUUCUAUGGUUCCCUUUUAAACGGUGAGGCCCUCUCUAUACACCGGAGCCCUUUCUUUCAUCAAAAGGUAUUGCGAACUUGUAUAGUCCACAUUCUUUGGCUCUACCUAUCCAUUAUAGAGUAAAUAGCUCUUUUCACAAUAAGAGUUAUCCAUACAGUGACGGUAUUUAAUUAUGAAAGUUGGCUAAGUAGCUGACCCUGUUAGUCCGUUCUUUUAAGAUAAAGGAGCAUAAGCCUUUUUCUUUUUAUUACUAUUUCCUCCGCUUAAUGGAUAACCAUUUGCUACCAAUGGGAGAAUUGCUUCUUAUUUACAAUUUAGAUAAUUGGAUUUGCACCAAAGGAAACCAUAAAUUCCAUAUACCAUAGAAAUCUAGGAUAGAGAAGCUAUAUCCUAUUCAUUGGUACUAAUCAUGGAUACUUCAAUUUUUUUUAUAUUUGUUUGAAGUCAUGAUCUGAACGAGUCGCACAUACACCCUAGCACAUGUUCCUCGACGCUGAGGGCAUCCUUUAAGCGCGGCCGUUUUUCGAGCAUUUCGUAUUGGCUGUCUUGCGUUUCUAAUAAGUUGUUUAACCGUCGGCAUGUUGUAUGUAUAUAGAAAAAAAUGUAUUGCGAACUUGUAUAGUCCACAUUCUUUGGCUCUACCUAUCCAUUAUAGAGUAAAUAGCUCUUUUCACAAUAAGAGUUAUCCAUACAGUGACGGUAUUUAAUUAUGAAAGUUGGCUAAGUAGCUGACCCUGUUAGUCCGUUCUUUUAAGAUAAAGGAGCAUAAGCCUUUUUCUUUUUAUUACUAUUUCCUCCGCUUAAUGGAUAACCAUUUGCUACCAAUGGGAGAAUUGCUUCUUAUUUCCAAUUUAGAUAAUUGGAUUUGCACCAAAGGAAACCAUAAAUUCCAUAUACCAUAGAAAUCUAGGAUAGAGAAGCUAUAUCCUAUUCAUUGGUACUAAUCAUGGAUACUUCAAUUUUUUUAUAUUUGUUUGAAGUCAUGAUCUGAACGAGUCGCACAUACACCCUAGCACAUGUUCCUCGACGCUGAGGGCAUCCUUUAAGCGCGGCCGUUUUUCAAGCAUUUCGUAUUGGCUGUCUUGCGUUUCUAAUAAGUUGUUUAACCGUCGGCAUGUUGUAUGUAUAUAGAAAAAAAUGGAUUGGUUUAGAUCCAUCUUAACCUGAUGAUUGCUCAUCAUGAAGUCUUUCUAUUUUCUAUUAAAUCGAGGAAAACACGAAUUUAGCUGUGAAAUAACUUUACAAGAA